This 495-nucleotide ribosomal RNA is filed under the name uncultured bacterium. RNAcentral's name for it is "bacterial SSU rRNA". It matches the Rfam family "Bacterial small subunit ribosomal RNA", at positions 903 to 1397 of the family's 1533-position model. The record is from RNAcentral.
AAAGGAAUAGACGGGGGCCCGCACAAGCGGCGGAGCAUGCGGAUUAAUUCGAUGCAACGCGAAGAACCUUACCAAGGCUUGACAUACACUGCGCGCAUUCCGAGAGGGGUGUUCCUUUAGGGGGUGGUGUACAGGUGGUGCAUGGUUGUCGUCAGCUCGUGUCGUGAGAUGUUGGGUUAAGUCCCGCAACGAGCGCAACCCUUGUCUCAUGUUGCCAGCGUGUUGUGGCGGGGACUCAUGGGAGACUGCCGGGGUUAACUCGGAGGAAGGUGGGGAUGACGUCAAAUCAUCAUGCCCCUUAUGUCUUGGGCUUCACGCAUGCUACAAUGGCCGGUACAAAGGGCUGCGAUGCUGUAAGGCGGAGCGAAUCCCAAAAAGCCGGUCUCAGUUCGGAUUGGGGUCUGCAACUCGACCCCAUGAAGUCGGAGUCGCUAGUAAUCGCAGAUCAGCAUUGCUGCGGUGAAUACGUUCCCGGGCCUUGCACACACCGCCCGU